Molecule: ribosomal RNA, 495 nt
Filed under: Triticum aestivum (bread wheat)
Lineage: Eukaryota; Viridiplantae; Streptophyta; Magnoliopsida; Poales; Poaceae
Description: partial small subunit ribosomal RNA
Source: RNAcentral
AUGAUGGGAGUUGCCGGAGUAUUAGGUGCGGCUCUGCUAUGCGCUAUUCAUGGAGCGACCGUAGAAAACACUCUAUUUGAGGACGGUGAUGGUGCAAAUACCUUCCGUGCUUUUAACCCAACUCAAGCUGAAGAAACUUAUUCAAUGGUCACUGCUAACCGCUUUUGGUCCCAAAUCUUUGGUGUUGCUUUUUCCAAUAAACGUUGGUUACAUUUCUUUAUGCUAUUUGUACCCGUCACCGGUUUAUGGAUGAGUGCUAUUGGCGCAGUUGGCUUGGCUCUGAACUUACGUGCCUAUGACUUUGUUUCCCAGGAAAUCCGUGCAGCGGAAGAUCCUGAAUUUGAGACUUUCUACACCAAAAAUAUUCUUUUAAACGAGGGUAUUCGUGCGUGGAUGGCNNNNNNNNNNNACCGGAGCCUUGCGCCGCCGUUGUGGAGCUCACCUGCGAGCUUGCCGAGAUGCGCUGCCCUCCAUCUUGAAGUGGAUGAGAGGUGA